RNAcentral lists this ribosomal RNA (484 nucleotides) under uncultured bacterium. RNAcentral describes it as "partial 16S ribosomal RNA". It matches the Rfam family "Bacterial small subunit ribosomal RNA", at positions 30 to 507 of the family's 1533-position model. The record is from RNAcentral.
AUUGAACGCUGGCGGCAGGCCUAACACAUGCAAGUCGAGCGGAUGAAGGGAGCUUGCUCCUGGAUUCAGCGGCGGACGGGUGAGUAAUGCCUAGGAAUCUGCCUGGUAGUGGGGGAUAACGUCCGGAAACGGGCGCUAAUACCGCAUACGUCCUGAGGGAGCAAGUGGGGGAUCUUCGGACCUCACGCUCUCAGAUGAGCCUAGGUCGGAUUAGCUAGUUGGUGGGGUAAAGGCCUACCAAGGCGACGAUCCGUAACUGGUCUGUGAGGAUGAUCAGUCACACUGGAACUGAGACACGGGCCAGACUCCUACGGGAGGCAGCAGUGGGGAAUAUUGGACAAUGGGCGAAAGCCUGAUCCAGCCAUGCCGCGUGUGUGAAGAAGGUCUUCGGAUUGUAAAGCACUUUAAGUUGGGAGGAAGGGCAGUAAGUUAAUACCUUGCUGUUUUGACGUUACCAACAGAAUAAGCACCGGCUAACUUCGUG